Molecule: long non-coding RNA, 247 nt
Filed under: Elaeis guineensis (African oil palm)
Lineage: Eukaryota; Viridiplantae; Streptophyta; Magnoliopsida; Arecales; Arecaceae
Description: long non-coding RNA (EGUI_LNC003749)
Source: RNAcentral
CCAGAUUCAAUUAGAAAUAAAGUCAAAAUUAUAUUAUCUAUUAGUAUUCUAAUGUCUAAAUUUAAUUAAAAUAAACUCAAAAUUAUUAAUUAUAAUAUCUAAACUAUAAAUUAAUAAUUAUAAUAUAUAUUUUCUUGGUAAAAUAUAUUGUAAUAUAUUAAAAUAUCCUAACCAGUAACCACAGCAGUAACCCUAAACCUAAAUCCCUAACUCUAUUUCUUAAUUUUCUUCUGGCUUCUGAAUCUGG